This 4715-nucleotide long non-coding RNA is filed under the name Sus scrofa (pig). RNAcentral's name for it is "lncRNA (ENSSSCG00005032809.1)". The record is from RNAcentral. Lineage: Eukaryota; Metazoa; Chordata; Mammalia; Artiodactyla; Suidae.
UUUUUCUUUUUUUAGACAUAAUGCUAUUGCACACUUAAUAGACUAUAGUGUAAACGUAACUUUUAUAUACACUAGGAAAUCGAAAAAUCUGUGUCUCAUUUUUACCGGGAUAUUCGGAUAUGUGCUUCACUGUGUUGAUCUGGAACUGAAUCAGUGAUCUCUCUGAAGAUGCCUGUACAGGACUGAUGUCAUCGUGAACUGUACUCAGCAAAGGGACGCCCACCAGGGUCAUGGGAUGCAUGGUAACUACAUGCUCUCAUUUUUCCUCUGCCCAAAGCGGCAGCCAGUAGUCAGGACAUACUGUCAAUAAUGACACUCAAGGGCCCUUGUAAAACCCAUGUCAUGUCAUCAAUACAAGGGUCAGUGGUGCCUCCCCUACCUUUGCCAAGUGAAACUCACUAGAGUGUGUGUCAAUCAGGCCCCCAUCUCUGAUCAAUAGAUCCUUCCAAGGAGUUAAAGCAGAUAUAGUCAAGUUAUUUAUUGAAGUUCCCAUUGUGGCUCAGUGGUAAAAACCUGACAUAGUGUCCAUACGGAUGUGGGUUUGAUCCCUGGCCUUGCUUAGUGGGUUAAGGAUGUGGCAUUGCUGCAAGCUGCAGUGUAGGUCACAGACUCAACUGGGAUCCUGUGUUGCUGUGGCAUAGGCUGGCAGAUGCAGCUCCGAUUCAGUCCCUAGCCUGGGAACCUCCAUAUGCCACAGGCGCAGCUUGUAAAAAGAAAAAAAAAGUUAUUUAUAGCAUGCUGACACUGCUUAUAAUUCUUCCCUAACAGGUUAUAGAGGGAGUUCCCUAGUGGUCCAGUGGUUAGUAUUCAUCACUUUCACUGCUGUGCCCUGGGUUCAGUCCCUGGUCUGGAAAAUGAAAGCUACUGCAGGCCAUGGCCAAAAUAAAUAAAUUUUAAAAAGUUACAGAAAUAAUUUUGCUCUCUAUUGAUUUGAUUUUUUUUUCAUUCAACAAACAUUGAUUUGUUUUCUUCCCUCCUUGCUUCAAAUAGGAGUUGAACAAAAUAACAAAACUGUUUAAGUUGAAAAAAAUAACAAAACCGCAAAAAGUCACAACAGAAGUCCUUCCCUGCCUAUAAGGCAGCUGCCUGGCCCCACAGAUCCAGGGAGCGCCUGGGUAAGAAGACAGAUAAACCAGUUUGACAGGUGGAAGGAGGCCAGAGUCGGUUUGCUGCCCGCCUCCUCCCACUCCCCCCAAAGUGAACCCACUGAAGGCCUGAGAAGAGGUCAGAUCAAUGAGAAAGUCAUUCCAAAGGCUCCUGAGAGACACAGGCUGGCGCUCUUCAGUGCCUAGUUCAAUCCGGCCUCCUUUAACGGAGGCAGUGUAUCCAGACUCCAGUGACUGCAGAAGGCGCUACUAAUUCCUCACACCUGCAAACUUCUUUGAAUAAUGUCCUUUGCACAGCUGUCCGGCUCAGGGGUCCCCUCUCUGGUCUGUAGCCAAUGCACAGAACAAAAAUCAAUGCACACUGCCAAAACAGGGGCAUCUCUGUGGUCCCCCUCACCCGCCAGAGCGCCCACACGAUCAGGCGGAGGGAUACUUCUCAAACGCUGGGUCUAGUCUUCCUCCUGCCCUUGCCCGCUGCCCUCACUCUAGAAACCAUCGCAUGAGACUCCCCAGCUCCAGCUCUGCUUUUCGGGAAGCUGACUUCAACACUUCCUGUGAUGGAUGUUGGGAAUUUUUUUUUUUCUUUUUAGGGCCACACCUGUGGCAUAUGCAAAUUCCCAGGCUAGGGGUCUAAACAGAGUUAGCAGCUGAGGCCUAUCCCAUAGCCACGGAAACACCGGAUCUGAGCCACAUCUGUGACCUAUGUGUAGCCUGCUGCUACUCGCGCUCCUCAACCCACGGAGCGGGGCCAGGGAUCAAACCCCCAUCCUCAGGGAGACUACGUUGGAUUCUUAAUCUGCAGAGGCACAAUGGGAACCCCAGGUGUUGGGAAAUUCUAAGAAAAAUUCUGGUCACGCAGGUCUUCUUGUUCCCUAGACUUUUCUGGUUCUUGACAUUAAAAAAAAUUUUUUUUUUUUUUUUGGUCAUGUCCACAGCCUGCAGAAGAUCUCCCACCAGGGACUGAACCCGCACCACAGCAGCCACAACAGUGACAACCUCGAACCCCUUACCGGCUGAACCACCAGGGUACUCCCUAACAUCUUAAAUAAAGUCAAGUGGGAGACCAGAGCAGUGGAACUCUGAGCUCUGAACACUAAGGAGAGCCUCUCAAUGACAGUGGAUGCAGAAGAUCCCUGAAACUGUAAGGAAACCACAGGUGAUGUUUGAGAAUCUGAGUUACAGGCCAGAUGAAAAAAUUUCUAAGAACAGCCAACAUCUGGCCCAGCCAUUCUACUUUCAGGAAUUUCUCUUUCUGAUAAUCUUUUACACACACAAAACUAUGAUAUACACAAAGCUGCCCACAACAGCAUUAGGAGGUAACAAAAGAUGUGAAAUAAUCUAAAUGUCUGUCAACAGGGACAGGUCAUAUAAAUCAUGGUAAAUCCAUUCUUUGGGACAUAUGCAGCUGUUAAGGAAAAUGAGAAUGAGAACACUCUGAAUGCAUACGGAAUGAUUAAGAUGGAAAGCAAACACAAAGAGAAACAUAAAACUACUCUUGAAGGAUAUACAAGAAACUGAUACUACUGGCGGCCUCCAGGAAGGGAAAAGGGUGAACUGGGAGGACUUUUUCUACUUUAAAAAAAAAAAAAAAAAUUUUUUUUUUUUUUUUUUUUUUGUCUUUUUAGACAGUAGCAUAUGGAAGUUCCCAGGAACUUCUGUAUACUAUGGGCAUAGCCAAAAAAAAAAAAAAAAAAAAAAAAAAAGGUUUUUUCCUGCCUCCUGCACUGGUAUUGCCCAAGCUUUUCUUGCUAAGAAGCAACCAUGAGAGCCCCAGAUCUGAUGCAAGAGGCAGAGGCUUCUGUGGGUGUAUUAGAUACCUACAUAUCAAAUUACCCCAAGUCAGUAGCUUAAAUCAACACUAAUUUAUCAUCUCCCAGUUCCCACUGGUCUGGAACCCCAGUAAACAUCCCUGCUCACGGCCUCACAUGGCUACAAUCUAGAUGUAGGCCAAGCUGGGGCUUUAAUCUGAGGCCUGGACCAAGCUCAUUUGUUGCAGCUGUAGGACCGAGGUCUUUAUUUUCUGGCUGCCUUUUAGCUGAGGGCUGCUCUCAGCUUCUAGACAUGAUCCACAGAUAUCUGCCACGUGGCCCUGUGCCAGGCCUUCUCUCAGCAAGGCAGGAGUUUACUUCUCCAGGGCCAGCAAGAGACUCUCUCCUCUUGGGAAGAAGCCAGUACCUCUUUUAAGUGCUGUCACCUGAUUUGGUCAGGUCUAUCUGGAGAUGAUGUCCUUUUGACCAACCCAGAAUCAACUGAUUUGGAACGUUAACGACAUCUGCAGCAUCCCUUCACCUUGACACACGACAUAACCACAGGAAUGACAUCCCAUCACCUUGGCCACAUUCUAUUGGUUAGAACAAGUCACACGUCCCACCCACACUCAAGAGGAUGGAAUUACAUAAGGUUGUGACUCACUGGGGGUCCCCCUAGGCAGUUCCUAGGGUGUGCCUGCCACAGUGGGCUAGCCUGGGAACCAGUUUGUCAUACACAGAGAGACAGCACACCAUGGGGGUGGGAGGGUCAGGCCUUGGCCACAACUGGGUUUGAAGGCCAACUCCAGAAUUUAAUGGAAUGUUUGGACCUUGGGCAAGUUACAAGACCUCUCAGUCUUCAUUCAACCAAAAGAAGGGAGAAAUAAAUAACGAACAGAGUCAUUAAGGGUUACUCUAAGGGAAACUGCAUGUAAAAUGGCCCGAUAUAAGAGAGCAGACACUCAAACCAUAGUUCUCCUCUCUGGAGGAACUUAGGACUUAAACAGAAGAAUGCUACUAAUGGUCUCCUCUUAAGCCUUCCAGCAGCCCAGUCAGGAACAUGUGAGACACUUUCUAAACUACUACACAUGCUGUCUGGCCUACACACCCAGCAGGGGUUUUCCCCACUCUGCAAAGGGUUUUCGUCUCUGGCAAAGAGUGAAAUUGCCAUUUGCACCUGCUGUGACAUCUCAGAGCGCCUCCUUUUAGAUUAGUUACCCACCCACUAGUGAGGAGCCAAAUGUAUAAAUUAUGGACCAACCAAAUAAUAAACUCAUAUGUCAUUAUCACAGCAUCAUUUUCUUUUCUUUCUUUCUUUUUGUCUUUUUAGGGCUGCUCCUGUGGCAUAUGGAGGUUCCCAGGCUAGGGACUGAAUUGGAGCUGCAGAUGCUGCUUACACCACAGCCACAGCAAUGCCAGAUCCUAGCCUUGUCUUUGACCUACACCACAGCGCACGGCAAUGCCGGAUCCUUAACCUACUGAGCAACGCCAGGGAUUGAACCUACGUACUCAUCCGUACUAGUCAGGUUCAUUUCCUGAGCCAAGACGGGAACUCCACAGCAUCAUUUUCGAAUGAGGUUUAAGGAGUUCCUGCCAUGGCUCAUCGGAAAUGAACCUGCUAGCAUCCACGAGGACACAGGUUCGAUCCCUGGCCUUGCUCAGUAGGUUAGGAAUCCAGCAUUGCUGUGAGCUGUGGUAUAGGUCACAGAUUCGGCUCGGAUCUGGUGUUGCUGUGACUGUGGUGUAGGCUGGCAUCUACACUGAUUCAACCCCUAGUCUGGGAACUUCCAUAUGCCACAGGUGUGGACCUGAAGAAAAAAAUCAAAUGACAUGAGAAAAUACUCAUGACAUAUUGAUAAUG